This is a long non-coding RNA of Tachysurus fulvidraco (yellow catfish), 812 nucleotides long. RefSeq lists it as uncharacterized. The transcript is spliced from 2 exons. The record is from RefSeq and is a predicted model, not a curated record. NCBI's taxonomy places the organism in Eukaryota, Metazoa, Chordata, Actinopteri, Siluriformes, Bagridae.
CAGACUCGUUACAACAUGGUUACUUGUCUCACCAUGCAUUGGAUAUCACAAGGAUAUCACAAGGAUAAAAAUGGGACAUCCUUUGGAUAUUGAACAAGCUUCUAAAGCGGAGAAAGAGGGUUCAGAGGGCAGGGUCAGCCAUGAUGCAGCACCCCAGGAGCAGAGAGGGUUAAAGGCCUUGCCCAGGGGCUCAACAGUGGGAGCUUGAACACUGACCUUCUGAUCAACAACUCAAGUCUUUACCACUUGAGCCAUCACCGUGUGAUGCAAUGACGUCAACAUGUUUUGAGAGCAAAUAGAAGCCCUACUCAGUAUUGGUAUAGCGCACCUUAAUUAAGUGCAAUUUAAAUUUAUAUAGUGUUUUUAUUUUAUAGUGUUUCAAAGUCUGGUGACACUGAAAGAUCGAUAUUACUGCACACUUGAAGGGGUUGUGUUCAAUUUCAGUUUUAAGAACUCACUAUAUGUGUGUUCAUAUUAAAUGUUUCCUAAAUGACAUAGACAAGGACCUUUGUGAGAUAAAAGUAUCAAAGGAGUGGUACCACAUAUGAAAGAGCUGUGAAUUACCUUAAUUAAAUACCAUCCAUGGAUUCCUAGUAAGUUUUUAUUAGUAUACAUUGAGGAAAUCAGAUUCAAUUUUAUAGAUGUUAAUUACUAGAAUCAUUUCAUGAAGAAGAUGCUUGGGAUGUGAUACUCUGAUGGACUUUUGCCAAAUGUUAAUGUUACCAAAUGGUUGUAUAUAUAUAUGUGUGUCUGUGUGUGUGUUUUAUUUACCUGAUUAAAAAAAAAAAGUAAAUAAAAAAGUUUAUUGUGUU